CAUGGCUCAGAUUGAACGCUGGCGGCAGGCUUAACACAUGCAAGUCGAGCGGUAACAUUUCUAGCUUGCUAGAAGAUGACGAGCGGCGGACGGGUGAGUAAUACUUAGGAAUCUACCUAGUAGUGGGGGAUAGCACGGGGAAACUCGUAUUAAUACCGCAUACGACCUACGGGAGAAAGGGGGCAGUUUACUGCUCUCGCUAUUAGAUGAGCCUAAGUCGGAUUAGCUAGAUGGUGGGGUAAAGGCCUACCAUGGCGACGAUCUGUAGCUGGUCUGAGAGGAUGAUCAGCCACACCGGGACUGAGACACGGCCCGGACUCCUACGGGAGGCAGCAGUGGGGAAUAUUGGACAAUGGGGGAAACCCUGAUCCAGCCAUGCCGCGUGUGUGAAGAAGGCCUUUUGGUUGUAAAGCACUUUAAGCAGUGAAGAAGACUCUGUGGUUAAUACCCACAGACGAUGACAUUAGCUGCAGAAUAAGCACCGGCUAACUCUGUGCCAGCAGCCGCGGUAAUACAGAGGGUGCAAGCGUUAAUCGGAAUUACUGGGCGUAAAGGGAGCGUAGGUGGCUCGAUAAGUCAGAUGUGAAAUCCCCGGGCUCAACCUGGGAACUGCAUCUGAUACUGUCGUGCUAGAGUAUGUGAGAGGAAGGUAGAAUUCCAGGUGUAGCGGUGAAAUGCGUAGAGAUCUGGAGGAAUACCGAUGGCGAAGGCAGCCUUCUGGCAUAAUACUGACACUGAGGCUCGAAAGCGUGGGUAGCAAACAGGAUUAGAUACCCUGGUAGUCCACGCCGUAAACGAUGUCUACUAGUCGUUGGGUCCCUUGAGGACUUAGUGACGCAGCUAACGCAAUAAGUAGACCGCCUGGGGAGUACGGCCGCAAGGUUAAAACUCAAAUGAAUUGACGGGGGCCCGCACAAGCGGUGGAGCAUGUGGUUUAAUUCGAUGCAACGCGAAGAACCUUACCUGGUCUUGACAUAUCUAGAAUCCUGCAGAGAUGCGGGAGUGCCUUCGGGAAUUAGAAUACAGGUGCUGCAUGGCUGUCGUCAGCUCGUGUCGUGAGAUGUUGGGUUAAGUCCCGCAACGAGCGCAACCCUUGUCCUUAGUUACCAGCGGGUUAAGCCGGGAACUCUAAGGAUACUGCCAGUGACAAACUGGAGGAAGGCGGGGACGACGUCAAGUCAUCAUGGCCCUUACGACCAGGGCUACACACGUGCUACAAUGGUAGGUACAGAGGGCAGCUACACAGCGAUGUGAUGCGAAUCUCAAAAAGCCUAUCGUAGUCCAGAUUGGAGUCUGCAACUCGACUCCAUGAAGUAGGAAUCGCUAGUAAUCGCGGAUCAGAAUGCCGCGGUGAAUACGUUCCCGGGCCUUGUACACACCGCCCGUCACACCAUGGGAGUUGAUUGCACCAGAAGUGGAUAGCCUAACCUUCGGGGAGGCGUUCACCACGGUGUGGUUGAUGACUGGGGUGAAGUC
Molecule: ribosomal RNA, 1476 nt
Filed under: Psychrobacter sp.
Lineage: Bacteria; Pseudomonadati; Pseudomonadota; Gammaproteobacteria; Moraxellales; Moraxellaceae
Description: bacterial SSU rRNA
Rfam family: Bacterial small subunit ribosomal RNA
Source: RNAcentral